UGAAGUGACUGAGUGGCGGACGGGUGAGUAACGCGUGGGUACCUGCCUCACACAGGGGGAUAGCAGUUGGAAACGGCUGAUAAUACCGCAUAAGACCGCAUGGUAAAAACUCCGGUGGUGUGAGAUGGACCCGCGUCUGAUUAGCUUGUUGGCAGGGUAACGGCCUACCAAGGCAACGAUCAGUAGCCGGCCUGAGAGGGUGAACGGCCACAUUGGGACUGAGACACGGCCCAGACUCCUACGGGAGGCAGCAGUGGGGAAUAUUACACAAUGGGGGAAACCCUGAUGCAGCGACGCCGCGUGAAGGAAGAAGUAUCUCGGUAUGUAAACUUCUAUCAGCAGGGAAGAAUAGGACGGUACCUGACUAAGAAGCCCCGGCUAACUACGUGCCAGCAGCCGCGGUAAUACGUAGGGGGCAAGCGUUAUCCGGAUUUACUGGGUGUAAAGGGAGCGUAGACGGAUGGACAAGUCUGAUGUGAAAGGCUGGGGCUCAACCCCGGGACUGCAUUGGAAACUGCCCGUCUUGAGUGCCGGAGAGGUAAGCGGAAUUCCUAGUGUAGCGGUGAAAUGCGU
Molecule: ribosomal RNA, 573 nt
Filed under: uncultured bacterium
Lineage: Bacteria
Description: bacterial SSU rRNA
Rfam family: Bacterial small subunit ribosomal RNA
Source: RNAcentral